Acanthosepion pharaonis is the source of this 99-nucleotide non-coding RNA. Lineage: Eukaryota; Metazoa; Mollusca; Cephalopoda; Sepiida; Sepiidae. The record is from the annotation of a GenBank genome assembly.
UUACGGCCAUAUCACGUUGAAACACCGGUUCUCAUCCGAUUACCGAAGUUAAGCAACGCUGAACCUGGUCAGUACCUAGAUGGGUGGCCGCUCAGAAAU